UUCCGUAGGUGAACCUGCGGAAGGAUCAUUACCGAGUGCGGGAACCCAGUCGGGUCCCAAUCUCCCACCCGUGUCUACCACACCUAGUGUUGCUUUGGCGGGCCCACUCCUCCGGUGUUCCGCCGGGGGGGUCGUCCCGGGGCGCGGUGUGCCCCCGGGGCCCGUGCCCGCCAGAGGCACUCACUGUGAACGCUUUUGUGAAUGCGAGGAUUGUCUGAGUGACGAAAUGCAAUCGUUCAAAACUUUCAACAAUGGAUCUCUUGGUUCCGGCAUCGAUGAAGAACGCAGCGAAAUGCGAUAAGUAAUGUGAAUUGCAGAAUUCCGUGAAUCAUCGAAUCUUUGAACGCACAUUGCGCCCUCUGGUAUUCCGGGGGGCAUGCCUGUCCGAGCGUCAUUGCGAACCCUCAAGCACGGCUUGUGUGUUGGGCCGCCGUCCCCUCGUUUGGAGGGGACGGGCCUGAAAGGCAGCGGCGGCGUCGCGUCCGGUCCUCGAGCGUAUGGGGCUCUGUCACGCGCUCAAGGAGGGGUCCGGCCGGGGCCAUAGCCUCUGAAGGUCAAUUCUUCCAAGGUUGACCUCGGAUCAGGUAGGAGUACCCGCUGAACUUAAGCAUAUCAAUAAGC
RNAcentral lists this ribosomal RNA (621 nucleotides) under Thermomyces lanuginosus. Its description in RNAcentral is "eukaryotic LSU rRNA". The stretch from base 241 to 394 matches the Rfam family "5.8S ribosomal RNA". The record is from RNAcentral. Lineage: Eukaryota; Fungi; Ascomycota; Eurotiomycetes; Eurotiales; Trichocomaceae.